This 465-nucleotide ribosomal RNA is filed under the name Vreelandella stevensii. RNAcentral describes it as "partial 16S ribosomal RNA". It matches the Rfam family "Bacterial small subunit ribosomal RNA", at positions 338 to 795 of the family's 1533-position model. The record is from RNAcentral. Lineage: Bacteria; Pseudomonadati; Pseudomonadota; Gammaproteobacteria; Oceanospirillales; Halomonadaceae.
CCUACGGGCGGCAGCAGUGGGGAAUAUUGGACAAUGGGGGCAACCCUGAUCCAGCCAUGCCGCGUGUGUGAAGGAGGCCCUCGGGUUGUAAAGCACUUUCAGUGAGGAAGAACGCCUGGUGGUUAAUACCCAUCAGGAAAGACAUCACUCACAGAAGAAGCACCGGCUAACUCCGUGCCAGCAGCCGCGGUAAUACGGAGGGUGCGAGCGUUAAUCGGAAUUACUGGGCGUAAAGCGCGCGUAGGUGGCUUGAUAAGCCGGUUGUGAAAGCCCCGGGCUCAACCUGGGAACGGCAUCCGGAACUGUCAAGCUAGAGUGCAGGAGAGGAAGGUAGAAUUCCCGGUGUAGCGGUGAAAUGCGUAGAGAUCGGGAGGAAUACCAGUGGCGAAGGCGGCCUUCUGGACUGACACUAACACUGAGGUGCGAAAGCGUGGGUAGCAAACAGGAUUAGAUACCCUUGUAGUC